AUUGAACGCUGGCGGCAGGCUUAACACAUGCAAGUCGAGCGGGGUGAUGGUGCUUGCACUAUCACUUAGCGGCGGACGGGUGAGUAAUGCUUAGGAAUCUGCCUAUUAGUGGGGGACAACAUCUCGAAAGGGAUGCUAAUACCGCAUACGUCCUACGGGAGAAAGCAGGGGAUCACUUGUGACCUUGCGCUAAUAGAUGAGCCUAAGUCGGAUCAGCUAGUUGGUGGGGUAAAGGCCUACCAAGGCGACGAUCUGUAGCGGGUCUGAGACGAUGAUCCGCCACACUGGGACUGAGACACGGCCCAGACUCCUACGGGAGGCAGCAGUGGGGAAUAUUGGACAAUGGGGGGAACCCUGAUCCAGCCAUGCCGCGUGUGUGAAGAAGACCUUAUGGUUGUAAAGCACUUUAAGCGAGGAGGAGGCUCUUUUGGUUAAUACCCAAGAUGAGUGGACGUUACUCGCAGAAUAAGCACCGGCUAACUCUGUGCCAGCCGCCGCCGUAA
This 503-nucleotide ribosomal RNA is filed under the name uncultured bacterium. RNAcentral's name for it is "partial 16S ribosomal RNA". It matches the Rfam family "Bacterial small subunit ribosomal RNA", at positions 30 to 523 of the family's 1533-position model. The record is from RNAcentral.